AGAGUUUGAUCCUGGCUCAGGAUGAACGCUAGCGGCAGGCCUAAUACAUGCAAGUCGAGGGGUAGGGGAAGCUUGCUUCCCCGAGACCGGCGCACGGGUGCGUAACGCGUAUGCAACCUACCUUGAUCAGGGGGAUAGCCCGGAGAAAUCCGGAUUAAUACCGCAUUAAGACACAGCCUCGCAUGAGGCAAUGUCCAAACAUUUAUGGGAUCAAGAUGGGCAUGCGUGCCAUUAGCUAGUUGGCGGGGUAACGGCCCACCAAGGCGACGAUGGCUAGGGGAUCUGAGAGGAUGGCCCCCCACACUGGUACUGAGACACGGACCAGACUCCUACGGGAGGCAGCAGUAAGGAAUAUUGGUCAAUGGGCGCAAGCCUGAACCAGCCAUGCCGCGUGCAGGAAGACGGCCCUCCGGGUUGUAAACUGCUUUUAUACCGGAAUAAACCCCGCUACGUGUAGCGGGCUGAAUGUACGGUAGGAAUAAGGAUCGGCUAACUCCGUGCCAGCAGCCGCGGUAAUACGGAGGAUCCAAGCGUUAUCCGGAUUUAUUGGGUUUAAAGGGUGCGUAGGCGGCCUGUUAAGUCAGGGGUGAAAGACGGUGGCUCAACCAUCGCAGUGCCCUUGAUACUGACGGGCUUGAAUUAACUAGAGGCAGGCGGAAUGUGACAAGUAGCGGUGAAAUGCAUAGAUAUGUCACAGAACACCGAUUGCGAAGGCAGCUUGCUAUGGUUAUAUUACGCUGAGGCACGAAAGCGUGGGGAUCAAACAGGAUUAGAUACCCUGGUAGUCCACGCCCUAAACGAUGAACACUCGCUGUUGGCGAUAUACAGUCAGCGGCUAAGCGAAAGCGUUAAGUGUUCCACCUGGGGAGUACGCCCGCAAGGGUGAAACUCAAAGGAAUUGACGGGGGCCCGCACAAGCGGAGGAGCAUGUGGUUUAAUUCGAUGAUACGCGAGGAACCUUACCCGGGCUUGAAAGUUAGUGAAUGAUCCAGAGAUGGGUCAGUGAGCAAUCACACGAAACUAGGUGCUGCAUGGCUGUCGUCAGCUCGUGCCGUGAGGUGUUGGGUUAAGUCCCGCAACGAGCGCAACCCCUAUGUCUAGUUGCCAGCAUGUAAUGGUGGGGACUCUAGACAGACUGCCUGUGCAAACAGAGAGGAAGGAGGGGACGACGUCAAGUCAUCAUAGCCCUUACGUCCGGGGCUACACACGUGCUACAAUGGACGGUACAGAGGGCAGCUAUCCAGCAAUGGAAUGCCAAUCUCAAAAAGCCGUUCACAGUUCGGAUAGAGGUCUGCAACUCGACCUCUUGAAGUUGGAUUCGCUAGUAAUCGCGUAUCAGCAAUGACGCGGUGAAUACGUUCCCGGGCCUUGUACACACCGCCCGUCAAGCCAUGGAAGCUGGGGGUACCUAAAGUACGUAGCCGCAAGGAGCGUCCUAGGGUAAAACCGGUAACUGGGGCUAAGUCGUAACAAGGUA
This 1477-nucleotide ribosomal RNA is filed under the name metagenome. RNAcentral describes it as "bacterial SSU rRNA". It matches the Rfam family "Bacterial small subunit ribosomal RNA". The record is from RNAcentral.